This 74-nucleotide transfer RNA is filed under the name Candidatus Peregrinibacteria bacterium CG11_big_fil_rev_8_21_14_0_20_46_8. RNAcentral describes it as "tRNA-Trp". It matches the Rfam family "tRNA". From Rfam's summary of the family: Transfer RNA (tRNA) molecules are approximately 80 nucleotides in length. Their secondary structure includes four short double-helical elements and three loops (D, anti-codon, and T loops). Further hydrogen bonds mediate the characteristic L-shaped molecular structure. tRNAs have two regions of fundamental functional importance: the anti-codon, which is responsible for specific mRNA codon recognition, and the 3' end, to which the tRNAs corresponding amino acid is attached (by aminoacyl-tRNA synthetases). tRNAs cope with the degeneracy of the genetic code in two manners: having more than one tRNA (with a specific anti-codon) for a particular amino acid; and 'wobble' base-pairing, i.e. permitting non-standard base-pairing at the 3rd anti-codon position. The record is from RNAcentral. Lineage: Bacteria; Candidatus Peregrinibacteriota.
AGGGGCGUAGUUAAAUGGUAUAACAGCGGUCUCCAAAACCGCUAUCGCGGGUUCGAUUCCUGCCGCCCCUGCCA